Molecule: ribosomal RNA, 441 nt
Filed under: uncultured Neocallimastigomycetes
Lineage: Eukaryota; Fungi; Neocallimastigomycota; Neocallimastigomycetes
Description: LSU rRNA
Rfam family: Eukaryotic large subunit ribosomal RNA
Source: RNAcentral
GCUCAAAUUUGAAAUCUUAAAGGUUUUACCUUGACGAAUUGUAGUUUAAAGAAGUGUUUUCUGUUGGUGUUUUGGUAAAAGUUCUUUGGAAUAGGACAUCAUAGAGGGUGAGAAUCCCGUAUUUGACCAUUACUUCCAGCGUUGUGAUACACUUUCAAAGAGUCGGAUUGUUUGGGAAUGCAGUCCAAAAUGGGUGGUAAAUUUCAUCUAAAGCUAAAUAUUGGCGAGAGACCGAUAGCGAACAAGUACCGUGAGGGAAAGAUGAGAAGAACUUUGAAAAGAGAGUUAAACAGUACGUGAAAUUGUCAAAAGGGAAGCGUUUGACACCAGUGUUGUUUUCUCGAAAAUCAAUUAAAAAAAGUUGGAUUUUGUAUUGUUAAGACCUUAUCAGCUUACUGUACUCUUUUCUUGCUUUUUUUAAUGCACUUUUCGUUUAACAAG